RNAcentral lists this long non-coding RNA (760 nucleotides) under Lathyrus oleraceus (garden pea). RNAcentral describes it as "Pisum sativum (pea) long non-coding RNA (PSAT_LNC000796)". The record is from RNAcentral. Lineage: Eukaryota; Viridiplantae; Streptophyta; Magnoliopsida; Fabales; Fabaceae.
AUAAAACAAAGCAUUAAAUAAUAAUUAAAGAACCUGAAUGAGUUAAACAAUAGUCUUGAACACUCCACCACAAGCCGGUAGGAUUUGUUCUUGGAUUCUUCAAUUAAACAACAAAUUAAAACGAAGGAAAUAAAACUAGAUUCUAACGUAAGGUUAGAUCCGGUAAAAAGGUGCACAAUAGUUUCCGGUGUAGAAACUAUUGUGCGAAAAGAAUUAACUAAAUGCUAAAAAGGAAAAAGGAAAAUAGAAAUUGCAAGGGAGAUAGUGUAGAACUCGUAAAAAUAAUAAAGAAACAAUACUGCUUAAGUUGCUGGAAAAGAAAAUGUGCAAAAGCGAAAACGGCAAAGGAAAAAAUGUGGAAAAGCUUCGGAACCCUUUUUGGUUUUGCAAGUGGCUAUUUAUAUAUGCUUGAGUAACCGCUUCCGCUGCCAAAAAGGUCUUCAACGUGCAUAAAAGCAUGGCGUGGAUAUAGGGCUCAACACUCCCUCAACGCUCAACGUCUCUGAGGCGUUCCUUGCGCCAAAAAUGUAGGGGAAUGGUGUGACGUUCGUCACACCAUGUGUGACGUCCGUCACAGGAGUGUGCAAGGCGUGACGCUCGUCACGCCCUCUGUGACGUCCGUCACAUGCACGGCACCUGCGUUUUGUGCUUUGGGCUGGGCUUUGACAUUUGGUUCAUUUUCUCUCCUUUUUGCACCUCCUUUUCUUCCAUUUUUACUUGUGCUUCAAAAUAAGCCACCUGAGACAAAUAGGAAGAAAAU